UUGAACUUCAUGUGAAAGUUGUGUCUCCCAUAUAGAAAACAAAACUUGUAGUGCUCUUUCAAUCAUUCAUAUCUCCAGCCUAAUCACUAUCACUAUAACCCAUAAGAUCAAAGCUAUUAGAAUAACCAUAAAACAAGCUAAAAUCAACUAUUAACAA
Populus euphratica (Euphrates poplar) is the source of this 157-nucleotide long non-coding RNA. RefSeq lists it as uncharacterized. The record is from RefSeq and is a predicted model, not a curated record. The transcript has 3 exons. NCBI's taxonomy places the organism in Eukaryota, Viridiplantae, Streptophyta, Magnoliopsida, Malpighiales, Salicaceae.